CCUACGGGAGGCAGCAGUAGGGAAUCUUGCUCAAUGGGGGAAACCCUGAAGCAGCAACGCCGCGUGGAGGAUGAAGGUUUUCGGAUCGUAAACUCCUUUUGUUAGAGAAGAUAAUGACGGUAUCUAACGAAUAAGCACCGGCUAACUCCGUGCCAGCAGCCGCGGUAAUACGGAGGGUGCAAGCGUUACUCGGAAUCACUGGGCGUAAAGAGCGCGUAGGCGGGAUAGCAAGUCAGAUGUGAAAUCCUAUGGCUUAACCAUAGGACUGCAUUUGAAACUGUUAUUCUAGAGUAUGGGAGAGGUAGGUGGAAUUCUUGGUGUAGGGGUAAAAUCCGUAGAGAUCAAGAGGAAUACUCAUUGCGAAGGCGACCUGCUAGAACAUAACUGACGCUGAUGCGCGAAAGCGUGGGGAGCAAACAGGAUUAGAUACCCGGGUAGUC
RNAcentral lists this ribosomal RNA (440 nucleotides) under uncultured bacterium. RNAcentral's name for it is "partial 16S ribosomal RNA". It matches the Rfam family "Bacterial small subunit ribosomal RNA", at positions 338 to 795 of the family's 1533-position model. The record is from RNAcentral.